Long non-coding RNA from Salmo salar (Atlantic salmon), 617 nucleotides. RefSeq lists it as uncharacterized. The record is from RefSeq and is a predicted model, not a curated record. Lineage: Eukaryota; Metazoa; Chordata; Actinopteri; Salmoniformes; Salmonidae.
UUCGCUUGAAAUUUGCAGACAUUACAAGCAGAGCUCAACUUUUUCUACCGCUCCUCUAGCAGGGUUCUCGCCGCUCACCUUCCAACAAACCUCCACACAUUUUUCUGCGUGCCCUCCUUAAAAAUGAAUGAGGGCGAAACUUCUGCCGAAUUCGUUGUUGGUGAAAACCUACUGUUAAGUACAUGUACAUUAGUAUGCGGUAAAUUGUGGCUCGCUUGUGGGUGUGCCAUAUAGCAGCACGUUCGAUUGUGUAUCCAGAAUGAAUUAUAGCAAGUAUGUAUGAAUGUCUGGUUAUUAAAUGGAUAAAUAGUUUAAUCCAUUCUCCAUUUCAUGAAUUUAUUCACAGGUAUAUAGUAAUAUGCUCUAAACCUUUUUGUGACAAACAAACUAUGCUGCCCUGUUUCCAAAUGUCCACAUGGCUGGGAGAACCUAUUCAAGUGCUGUAGCUAGAGAACAGCCAUGGAGGAGGGUGAAAGGAUAGCAGACCCAACUCUCAAAGUGAGAGAGUAGGCUAUUCUGGAUUGGAUACUGAGAGCUGUGAAAGCCUGUCUGCAGAUGAAGAGGUACCAAUGAAGAGCAGUGGUUCGCAGAUCUGGUCGUGGAGACUCAAAGGCAUG